This 23258-nucleotide long non-coding RNA is filed under the name Physcomitrium patens. Its description in RNAcentral is "long non-coding RNA (PPAT_LNC002842)". The record is from RNAcentral. Lineage: Eukaryota; Viridiplantae; Streptophyta; Bryopsida; Funariales; Funariaceae.
GUCACGGACAUACAUAUAAUUACCUAUAUGAAUAGAUAAAAGUAUGUAAAAGUAGAUAAAAGUAGGUUAAUUGUGUAAUAUCUUCUAGAGAAGCUUCUUAGAAGCUUCAUAGAUGCUGCUUUGACUUUAUAGGAGUCUAUAGUUGACUUUUAGGUUAGAAACUUGAUCAACAAGUUAGCCAUGUACCACACAUGUUGGAAGCUUAAAGAACAAGCUAACUACGUGGUCCAUCCAUAGAAAACUUGCCUUGCAAGCAAAGGCAUGUGGCCUAGAAAGUCAACAUAUAUUGGAGGUCUUAUAGAACAUCGCCACGUGGCUUCUAGUUAGAUAGUAUAUAUAGAGGCAAGAGUGAAGCCCUCUUCACUCUUGUCAACUCCUUUCUUGCUUCUAGUCCAGGUUCAAGAGUCUUUAGUUUCUUGUCUUGUGGCAAUAGCCAUUCCAGUUUCCUUUUAAUAUACCUACUUGUUUAUAUUUUGACUUAUUAUAUCGAGAUAGCCUUUUGGUGUAUAUUUUUCCUCAUCGAGUCUUUGUCCUUGACAGAUUGACAAGAGUCCACUUACAAUAUCAGAGCUUUGUUUUUUCUUGAGUAAAAGUGGAUUACCCCUUUCUCUUGACAAGACAUAAGCGUAUUUGAAGUUUGCGGAUUACCCACUUCUAAACUGAUAUUGUUCUUAGUAUCUUCUUUGUUAUCAAGUCUUUCUUUUCUUUUGUCUUGAGCAAUAUCAAACAAAUUUUUCUUCUUAGUGUCAUUAUGGCAGAACUUGUUGAAAUGAAGAGUGCAAUGGCACAAAUGCAAGAGCAAAUGAGGGAGUUAAUGCUUGCGAUGCAUCAACUCAAUUCACCAACACAUGAAAGAAUAAGAAUAGCAGAAAGUGGAGAUAUAGAGAUGAUCGGAGCUGCUUCAACAUCUACAACAAAUCACGUCCCUUCUUCAAUUGUACAACACCCUAUAAGCACUAGAGAACCAAGAAUUGCCUUACCCGAGAAAUUUGAUGGUACGAGAUCAAAGUUUUGAGGGUUCAUCAAUCAAGUACAAUUGGCAAUUGAACUUCAACCGCAAAGCUAUCCAACUCCAGGAUCACAAGUCAGGUUUAUUGGCACUCUACUUUCUGGUUCUGCAUUAUCGUGGUUUUCGUCUUUUCUUGAACAACGAAAUCCAAUAUUGGACAAUUUGAAAGCUUUUUUGGCGGAGUUUCGAUCUAUGUAUGGUGAACACGAUGCAACUCGUGUUGCAACAAAUAAGAUCCGAAUUCUGCGACAAGGAAAUCGCUCAGUAACAGUAUAUGCUUCAUAAUUUCGACAACUUGCAAUUGACAUCAAGUGGGAUGAUGCUGCACUCAUCAGUCAAUUUCUUUAUGGAUUGCAAUACGAAGUAAAGAAAUUGAUGCUCAACUUACCUGAUCCUCAAACUUUGAGUCAAGCAAUCGAUUUUGCGGUAAAAUGUGAUAAUCGACUUUUUGAAUUUCGAUCUGAGAAUCAUUCACGGAAACCUCAACGUUAUUACUCAAUGGCAACACCAACACCUUUGCCAAACGUACAUUCGGAAGUAGAAGACAUGCAAAUUGACGCGGUACAUUUUAAACCUCUAACUGAGCAAGAAAAGAUUCGUCGUUGUCAAGAACGAUUAUGUUUAUAUUACGGAGAACCUAAGCACACUGCUCAACAUUGUCCAAAGAAACGACGCAACUAUAAAAUGAGGGGUACGACGGUCAAAGAAGACAACAUGUCGGAAAACGGAUUCGUCCAGCUACAAUAGGGACCGUGCAGCUGGAACCUUGUACAAUUCCUAAUGAAGGUCCUAUCCUCUCCUCAGAACCCUCUCUUUGUUUUAUAAUAGACUUAUAUUUAGGACCUAAGAAUUACAAAGCCUCUGCUUUAUUAGAUUCGGGAGCCUCAGCAUGUUUUUUAGAUGAACAAUUUGUUAAAAGUCGUAAAAUACCCUUUGUACAGAAACCUAAACCAGUACAUGUAGAAGUCAUAGAUGGUCGUCCCUUGUCUUCUGGAGAUGUCACUCAUGAAACUCAUCCUAUAAAAGUAACAAUAGACGGUCAUGAUAGCUACAUAGCUUUUAACAUAAUUAAAUCCCCGUCCAAUCCAGUUAUUUUAGGUUUAUCCUGGCUAGAAAAAUAUAACCCUCGAAUAGAUUGGAAUUCACGUAAACUUGACUUUUCCAAAAGUAUUAUUAAUAGUUCUACGAACCAAGUAAAAAAUUAUAAGUAUAGUACAGUAAAACCCAUACUGAUAGGUGCAAAAGCAUUUAUACACGCAGCAAAAGAAGGAUCAACUUUUGCUAUUUAUGCUGCACCUAUUUCUGAAAACGUAAAGACUUCAAGUGGCAUUCCAAGUCAAUAUCAGGAGUAUCAAGACGUUUUUGAGAAAAAGAAUGCAGAUAUUCUUCCUGAGCAUCGUCCAUAUGAUUGUUCAAUCGACCUCAAGGAAGGAACUCAGCCACCAUUUGGACCAAUUUACAGUUUAUCGCAAGAUGAGAUGGCUGAACUCAAGACAUAUAUUGACGAGAAUUUAGCGAAGAAUUUCAUACGCCAUUCAAAAUCUCCAGCAGGAGCUCCAAUUCUAUUCGUAAAGAAAAAAGAUGGAUCUUUACGAAUGUGUGUUGAUUAUCGAGGACUCAACAAGAUCACAAUCAAGAACAGGUAUCCAUUACCUUUGAUAUCAGGACUCCUUGACAAGUUGAAUCAAGCUAAGAUCUAUACAAAAAUAGAUCUAAGAGGAGCAUAUAAUCUAGUACGAAUCAAAGAAGGAGAUGAAUGGAAGACUGCAUUUCGAACCAGGUAUGGACAUUUCGAAUAUAAUGUCAUGCCGUUUGGACUCACGAAUGUACCAGCUGCUUUUCAACAUCUCAUGAAUGAUAUAUUUCGUGAAUUCUUAGACAAUUUUGUCGUCUGCUAUCUAGACGAUAUCCUGAUCUAUUCCAAGAACGUCGAAGAACAUGAAAUACAUGUUCGUCAAGUAUUACAAAAACUUAGAGAUGCAGGAUUGUAUGCCAAGAUGGAAAAGUGUGUAUUUCACACUACUCAAGUUGACUUUUUAGGAUACAUCAUUUCAAAUGAUGGUCUCAUGAUGGAUUCUAAGAAAGUCCAAACAUUCGUGGAUUGGAAGAUUCCAAGGAUGGUAAGAGAUGUCCAAUGUUUCUUGGGAUUUGCCAAUUACUAUCGGAUCUUCAUCAAAGACUUCUCACGAGUUGCAGCUCCACUUACACGCUUGACUAGUAAAGAUAAAUUCCAAUGGAAUCAAGAAGCGGAAGCAGCAUUUGAAGUCUUGAAGACAUCGUUUGUCUCUGCACCAGUCUUAUAUCGUGUUGACUUUUCCAAGGUAUUUUUUAUGGAAACAGACGCAUCGGAUUUUGCCUUGGGUGCAGUUUUAUCACAAAUGGGAACAGAUGACAAACUUCAUCCGAUAGCUUUUCAUUCAAGAAAAUUCUCAGCAGCCGAGAUCAAUUAUGAGAUCCACGAUAAAGAACUUCUUGCAAUCGUGGAUUCUUUUCAAGAAUGGCGUCAUUAUCUAGAAGGUGCUUCUAGUCCAGUCACUGUGUAUACAGAUCACAAGAACCUCGAGUAUUUCAUGUCAGCACGUGUGUUGAAUCGUUGUCAAGCUCGUUGGAGUAUGUCUUUGUCAAGAUUCGACUUCAUUAUCACUUAUCGGCCAGGAAAACAACAAGGUUUGUCCGAUGCCCUGUCUAGACGUUCUUAUUUUGCACCAAAAGAAGGAGAUGCAGCUUUUGAGCAACAAAGAACGGUCCUCUUGAAACCGGAGCAAUUUCAUCUCAGAGCAGUGAAAUCAACACUGACUGUUGAUUCAACUUUUCUCAAGCAAAUCCAGUCCAGUAUGUCCUCAGACCCUCUUGUUCAUGAUAUCGAGAAUAAUUCUUCCAAGUCUCAUGAUUCUUCUAAGUUCGAGUUCAAGAAUAAUCUAUUAUAUUUUGAAGGACGCCUAUAUGUUCCAGAAGAAAAAGCACGUUUGCGUGUUCUUCAAGCACGUCAUGACUUUCCAGCAGCAGGUCACUUUGGAUAUAAUAAGACUCUGGAACUCAUAUCAAGAGAUUUUUGGUGGCCACAAAUGUGGAAGUCAGUCAAAGACUUUGUACAAUCAUGUGAUAUUUGUUCAAGAUCAAAAAUUCCUCGACAUCGACCUUACGGACUUCUUCAGCCAUUACCUAUACCAGAACAACCAUGGUCUUCUGUUUCUAUGGAUUUCAUCACAGAUCUUCCAAACUCAAGAUCUUAUGAUUCUAUAUUUGUGAUAGUAGAUCGUUUCACCAAGAUGGCACAUUUUAUGCCAUGUACAAAAUCUAUCACAGGUGAAGAAACAGCUAAGCUUUUCAUUGAUAAUAUCUAUCGCUAUCAUGGAUUACCUAAAGAUAUCAUAUCGGAUAGGGGAACUCAAUUUGUGUCGAGAUUCUGGAGGACUCUUUUCAAGAUUUUAAAAGUUGACAUAAAGCUAUCUUCAGCUUUCCAUCCUCAAACUGAUGGAUAAACAGAGCGCGUAAACUAAGUCUUGGAACAGUAUUUAAGGUGUACCAUCAACUACCAACAAGAUGAUUGGACAAUCCUUCUGCCAUUGGCAGAGUUUGCUUAUAAUAAUACAGUACAUUCUUCCACGCAACAAACACCUUUCUUUGCCAAUUAUGGCUAUCAUCCACGACUUGAUACUUUUGAUUUUUCAAAAGUUGAUAAUCCUGCAGCAGAAGAUAUGGCAAAUCGGUUGUCAGAGUUACAUGCAAUAAUGAAGGCGCAGUUGAAGAAAGCUCAAGAACGACAAAAGAUAAAUGUAGAUGUAUAUCGUAAAGAGCAACCACAACUCAACGUGGGUGAUAAGGUAUGGCUACUUCGUCGCAAUAUCAAGACCACUCGACCUUGUGACAAAUUGGACUAUCGUAGGCUUGGCCCCUUUUUUGUUUCUGAACAGAUCAACCCAGUUGCAUAUCGGUUACAUCUACCGGAGUCAAUGAAGAUCCAUCCUGUAUUCCACGUGUCUCUUCUUGAACCAUAUAAGACAGUGGAUAUACAAGGAAGAAGACAAAUGCCACCGCCUCCUAUAGAAGUAGGUAAUAAUGAAGAAUUUGAGGUGGAAGAGAUAUUAGACUCAAGGCGGCGCCGAAAUAAGUUGGAAUAUCUUGUUCAUUGGCGCGGAUAUGAUAUUAGUGAACGCACAUGGGAGCCAUCCAGGAAUCUAGCAAAUGCAUCAGCUAAAGUCAAAGUUUUUCAUCAACGACAUCCAUCAAAACCAAGAUGAAAACCUCUCUUAUAAAAGAGACAAGAUUGAGGCAAGAUAACAUUCAAUUUUUUAUCCUUGUUUGUAACUUCUUUGCAUUUGUGACGCUAAUUAGAUGGAGAGCCAACAACCAGCGGAUUCAACUCAAGAACCUUCGUUUACUGACUUACCGGAUGAGACAUUGCGAUUGUCACAACCUUCAAGACGAUGCAACCGAGAUGAAGACCCUCAAGAACGACAUGUUCUUCCUCGAAUAGAUGGUGAGAUACAACGCAUUUGGUAUCACGACCUUGGAAGAGAUUCUCUAUGUUUGGUGAUAUUAUUGGAGAUAGGAACGACUCCUGAUGGUGUUUCAAAUGUAUUAUUUGAAGGAAGUUAUGAAGGCCUCAACAGUGAUCAAAUAACAGGGUGGUCUUCUCGCCCUAGAAUGGGACACUAUCGAUGGCUAAGAGGACCCAUCAACUAUCUUCGAAGAGAACAAAGAUCAGAGUAUGUAGCAAAUACAAUUCGCCGCAUAUUAGAUUUUUUCAAUAUAUAAUCACCGCUCCUCGUGGAACUCGUCCCUAGAAGGGAGGGUAAUGUCACGGACAUACAUAUAAUUACCUAUAUGAAUAGAUAAAAGUAUGUAAAAGUAGAUAAAAGUAGGUUAAUUGUGUAAUAUCUUCUAGAGAAGCUUCUUAGAAGCUUCAUAGAUGCUGCUUUGACUUUAUAGGAGUCUAUAGUUGACUUUUAGGUUAGAAACUUGAUCAACAAGUUAGCCAUGUACCACACAUGUUGGAAGCUUAAAGAACAAGCUAACUACGUGGUCCAUCCAUAGAAAACUUGCCUUGCAAGCAAAGGCAUGUGGCCUAGAAAGUCAACAUAUAUUGGAGGUCUUAUAGAACAUUGCCACGUGGCUUCUAGUUAGAUAGUAUAUAUAGAGGCAAGAGUGAAGCCCUCUUCACUCUUGUCAACUCCUUUCUUGCUUCUAGUCCAGGUUCAAGAGUCUUUAGUUUCUUGUCUUGUGGCAAUAGCCAUUCCAGUUUCCUUUUAAUAUACCUACUUGUUUAUAUUUUGACUUAUUAUAUCGAGAUAGCCUUUUGGUGUAUAUUUUUCCUCAUCGAGUCUUUGUCCUUGACACCCAGGACACGAUUGCUUCCACCUUCUUGAGAUCCAUCUUCAAGCCUUUUGUAGUCGCAACGAACUCCAAAAACUCCAUCUCUAUUUGGUGAAAUAAACACUUCUCCAACUUGACAUAUAGUCCUCGCUCGCAUAGUUUCUCCAAGACCAAAUGAAUGUGCUUUUUAUGCUCUUCUUCGUUUUUGGAGAAUAUCAAAAUAUCAUCCAAAUAGAUGACAACAAAAUCGUCAAGGUACUCUCAGAAAAUGUCAUUCAUCAUAUGUUGAAAGACCGUUGGAGCAUUGGUAAGACCAAAGGGCAUGACAUUAUAUUCAAAAUGGCCAUACCUUGUACAAAACGCUGUCUUCCACUCAUCUCCUUCUUUAAUUCAUAUGAGGUUGUAAGGUCCCCUUAGAUCAAUUUUUGUAAAGAUCCUUGCACAUCCAAGUUAUUCUAAGAGAGUAGAAAUUAAGGGUAACGGAUAACGAUUCUUCUUUGUUAUCUUGUUGAGGCCUCGAUAGUCCACGCACAUCCGCAACGAGCCAUCUUUCUUCUUUACAAAUAAGAUGGGUGCUCCAACUAACGAUUUUGAAUGACGGAUGAAGUUCUUGGCUAGAUUCUCGUCGAUGUACUUCCACAACUCCGCCAACUCUGUCUGCGAUAGAUUGUAGAUUGGGCCAAAAGGUGAUUGUGCUCCUUUCUGCAAGUCUAUGGCGCAAUCAUAUGGUCGGUGUUCCGGUAGCAUGUCGGCAUUCUUCUUUUGAAACACAGCUUUAAAAUCCUUAUAUUGCUCAAAUAUACUUGUUAUCGAGAUCUUCUCCCCAGUAGUUGGAGCCGCAUAAAUGACAAACGGUGUGCCUUCCUUGGACGAUCUUAUAAACGCUCUUGCUCUAAUGAAUAAGGAUUUUUCUAUUCGGAAUUUUCUACUAGGCUUGCUCUUAGGUGGUUUUGUAGGAAAGGUCAUCUUCCGCAACCUCCAAUCUAUGGAUGGAUUAUGCUUUUCUAACCAAGAAAGUCCAAGAUUAAUAGGAUUUGAUGGGGUUCUAAUAAUAUUGAAAAUAAUAUGACUACUAUGGCCCUUAAAUGUCACUUCUAUAGGUUCUGAUUCAUGGGUGACACUACCUGAUAAUAAAGGUCGUCCAUCUAUGACCUCAACACGAACAGGUUUGGAUUUUUGUACUAAAGGGAUCUUAUGACGCUUCGUAAAUUCUUCGUCUAAGAAACAAGCAGAUGCUCCUGAAUCUAAUAACGCUAAGGUUCUUUGUUUUUGAGGGCCAAUAAGUAAAGUGAUUGUAAAACAAAGGGCAGGUUGAGCGGAAAGAAAGGAACCUGGUUGUUGUUGCGAUAUUUCACUGUCUAGCCGCACGGUUCCUAUUGUGGUUGGGCAUCCUCGUUUUCUUGAACAAACGCGCUCCUAGUCCUUACAAUACGUCAAUUUUGCUUCUUGGGGUAGUUUCCAACUUUGUGGCCUUCUUCACCGCAAUACAAGCAUAGACCUUCCUCCAUACGUCACUUUUUUUCUUCUUGGGUAAGAGUUUUGACACGUACUGCAUCAAUUUGCAUGUCUUCUACCUCUGAAUGUGAAUUCACAUUGCUUGUCGACAUAGUUGGGGCAUGGCAAAUUGUAUGUUAUCUUGAACGUUGAUCUUGGCGACAUUGGAAUAGGUGAUUAUUGCACUUCACAACUUGGCUAAUAGCUUCAUUAAGCGUUUGUGGAUCAGAAAGAGUUAACAGUAAAUCCUUCACAUCAUCCCUUAAACCCCAAUAGAAUUGACUCAUCAACGCUUCUUCGUCCCAAUUGAUGUUGCAUGCUAAUUGCCUGAAGUCCAAUGCAUAGACUGAUGUAGAGCGCAUCCCUUAUCGUAGUGACUGGAUCUUUGUUGUAGCCCAUCGAACCUUGUCGUGUUCACCAAAUACUUUCGCAAAUGCCUCCAAAAAGGUUUCAAAGUUAUUUAAUAUGGAUGAUUGUUUCUCAAACAAAGGAGCAAACUAUGAUAGAGCUUGUCCUGUAAGUAAGGUUCCAACAAGUCCAAUACGUGACUCCUCCGUUGGAUAGCAUUCGGGCUGUAAAACUGUUAUCAACCUGAUUUGAUUGACGAAUCCUCGAAACUUGGAACGCGUACUAUCGAACUUGUCCGGAAGGCUAAUUCGGGGCUCCUUAUGUUGUAGAACCAGCGGUGCUUGUCGAACCUGAGGCAAAGUUACUUCUCCAAGUACAGAAGUUUGAGGCUGGUGCAACCUAGAUUGUACCAUCCCAAAUGCUCCAUCAUUAUGAAGCCUUGCCAUGACUCCUUCAAUCUCUGCAAUUCUUUGCAAUAACGUAGCGAGGGCAUUCAUGAUAGCAUCCAAUUUGGAUUCUGAACUUUUCGUCAUACUAAUGUCUUGGCCUCCGGCCAUUCUAAGAAAAGGACAGAAAUGACUCUACAAGAAGACAAUAUUGGUUUAGAGGAGGAUACUCCGCAACCUCUAAAAUGUCUUAAGAGCUUCAAGAAAAGGAGUAAUCCACUCUCUCCAAGAAGAAUAAGACUCCAAUAUUGUAACAAAAGAAAUAUUAGUUUAGAGGAGGAUAAUCCGCAACCUCUAAAAUGCUAGUAUACUUCCAAGCAGAGGGAUAAUCUAUACUCUAACGAGGAAGAAACUAACUCUGAUAUCUGAGGUGAGCGAAGUCUCGAUAAACUAUCAUGGACACAGAAAUACAGACUCGAGAUCUAACAAGAAAUUCAAGAAGAAUUGGCAAGAACUAGAUUAAUCAAAUGAAUACAAGAACAACACCAGAGAGGUGAGCUAGAGCUCCAAGAGAUGUGUUGUCGAGACUGAAGAACUCUUCAGCCUCGAUUCCAAUAUAUACUCCUAUUUAGGAAGCUUCUCAAGCAACUUCUACCAACUAAGAAGCUUCUAGAAGAUUCUAGAGACUUGCUUCUAGAAGAUUCUAGAAACUUGUCUCUAGAAGGUUUUAGAAACUUGUCUCUAGAAGGUUUUAGAAACUUGUCUCUAGAAGGUUUUAGAAACUUGUCUCUAGAAGGUUUUAGAAACUUGUCUCUAGAAGGUUUUAGAAACUUGUCUCUAGAAGGUUUUAGAAACUUGUCUCUAGAAGGUUUUAGAAACUUGUCUCUAGAAGGUUUUAGAAACUUGUCUCUAGAAGGUUUUUCAAAACUUAGUUUAUUUGCUUUGCUUGUCUAUCAAUUUGAGGAUGAAAAGCCAAAGAUAGUUUUAUUUCUACCUUUAGAAUCUUAAAAAGAACUUUUAAAAAUCUUGAUAUAAAUUAAAUUCGAUUAUUUGAUAAAACAUCCUUAGGCAAUCCAUAAUAGCUAUAGAUAUUGUCAAGAAAAAGUUUAGUUAUUUCUUCACCUAUGAUAGAUUUUGUACAUGAUACAAAAUAUACCAUCUUGAUAAAAUAAUCUACUAUCAUGAAUAUAGAGUCAUAAGAAACUAAGACUAAAAAAUCUAUGAAAAAAUCUAUAAAAUCAAAAGAUCAUAGUUAUUUUAGAAUAUGUAAUUACUAAAGAAGUCUAUUAGAUCAAUAAUGAAGGAUUUCUAUUUUUAAAAAAAAUCAUAUGAUUGUAAAAAAUCUUUGACUAUUUUUUACAUUUAAUGCUACUAAAAAUUUCUAGAUAUUAGCUCUAAAGUCUUACUAUAUCUAAAAUACCUAAUUAUUAGAAAGUUAUGAUAAGUUUUAAGAACACAUAAUUAUGCUUUGUCUUUUGAAAUAUAUAAUCAUCCUUCAAAAUAGAAUAGAUUAUUUAUAAAAUUAAACUUAAAAAUAUCAUAAGACUUAAAAGAAUUAUUCUUAAUAUUAUGAAAAAGAAGAUCAAAAGACAUACUCAAUUAAACUUGCUUAAGAAAGGUUGAAUUAAUAGUCAAUAUUGAUUUCAUUGCUUGAAGAUGAAAAUGCUUUGGCUUCAAGAGAAUCAUUUUGUAUUGAUCAAAAGCUAAAUUUUCUUCUUUAAAUGUAAGAUAAAAAUGUCUUAAAAUGGUUUUUAAUAAUCUCUAUUGUUUUUCAAGUAGAUAAGUAAUCAUAAAAUCAAAUGUUCAUAAAAACAUGCUCCAAUGAUUCAAUCAAGAUUCAAAACAUGUAUUGCCAUAAAAUACUCAAGGUUUUUAUGACCCAUAUGUACAAUGACUAGAAUAGAAGCACCUUCUAGAUAAUAACAUUAUUUUUGAAAUUAAUUGACAAUUAUAAGAAGUUUUUUGUUUUCGAUCUCUGCUGCUGAAAAUUUCUUGAAAUGAUAAGCUACUAGGUGGAGUUUGUCAUUUGCUCCCAUUUAAAACAAUAUUACAUCCAUAGCAAAGUUUGAUGCAUCUAUUUCUAUCAAUAAUAUUAUAAAAAAGUCAAUAUAAUAGAAGAUUGGUGUAGAAAUAAAUAUUAUCUUCAAGGCUUCAAAAGAUGCUUCAACUUCUUUGCUUUAAUUACGUUUGUCUUUAUAUGUCAGACUUGUAAGAAGAGCCACAACUUGAAAAAAAAAAUCUUAAUAAAGAUCUAAUAAUAAUAAUUAAUAAAUCUCAAAAGACAUUACAUAUUUUUAAUUAUUUUUGAGAUCUUCCAAUCCAUGAUAGUUUAGAAUUUCUUAGGAUCCAUCAUAGAACUAUUAUUUAAAAUAAUAUAUUCUAAAAAGUCAACUUCAAUAUUUUGAAAUAUACAUCUUUUUUUCUUAGCAUAUGAUCAUGUAUUUUUUAAUUUUUGUAAUAUAUAACAAAUAUGCAAUUGAUUUUUUUUAUAUUUUUAGAGUAAAUUAAAAUAUUGUAUAAAUCAAAGAUAAUAAAAUCCUCAAAAAACUUGUAAAGACAUCAUCCAUUAGAUAUUGAAAAGAAAUUGGUACAUUUGUGAAUUCAAAAGGCAUGAAAUUAUAUUUGAAAUACCUAAAUCUAAUUCAAAAUAUAAUUUUUAUUCAUCUCUUUUUUUAAUGAGUAUUAAGUUAUAUACUUUUUAUAUAUCUAUUUUUAUAUAAAUCUAUAUUUGAUUGAGUUGAUUAAUAAAUUAUAAAAUUAAAGAUAAAAAAUACCUAUUUUUGAUGGUAAUCUUAUUGAGUCCUUAAUGAUCCACACAUAUUUAUAAAAAUCUGUCUUUUUUCUUCAAAAAUAAGAUAGAAGCUUUUUUUGAAGAUUUUAAAUGGAAAACAAAAUUCUUAGACAAAUUCUGAUCAAUGUUUUCUUUGAAUGCAGCCAAUUUGUUUUGGAAUAACCUAUAGAUUGGUCUAAAAGAUGAUUGAAUUCUUUCUUGAAGAUUGAUGGAAUAAUCGAUGAAAGAUAUGAAUUUUAAAAAGAGAAUACCUCAAUACACUCUUGUGUUAUUCAAAAAGAUUAGAAAAUCACUUAAAGAUGAUAUAGUAUUAGAUUAAAAUGGCUAUUGCAAAAGAUAAAAAGUAUUAUAAGUCUUGAGAUAAGACUAAGAACUAGAAAGUCAUUGAUAAGAGUGAAGAAGGCUUCAUUCUUGCCUCCAUAUAUACUCUUAACUAGGAGCUAUAUGGCAAUAUCUUAUAGGUCCUCUAAAAUGUGUUGACUUUGUAUAAUAUGUAUCUUAACUUAUAAAGUAAGUUUUUUAUAUAUAUGCCACAUAUUUAGCUUAUUUUUGCAAGCUAUCAAUAAGUAGUUAACUUACUCACCAAGUUUCUUACCUAUCAAUCAAUUAUAAAUACAUGUAAAGUCAAAGCAAUGUCUAUAAAGCUUCUAAGAAGCUUUUCUAAAAAAUAUUAUGAAAUAAAUUCAUUUUUACUUACUUCUAUUUAAUCAUAUAAAUAAAUAUUAUAAUAAAUAUAUAUAUUUGUGACGUUAUUCCCUCUUUUAGGGAUGGAUUCCACAAAGAGCAGUCAUCAAAUGUUGAAGAAAUCGAAGGUAUGGCAAAUUAUAUUUGCCAUAUACAUUGAUCUUUAUUCUCUUUGAAGAUGGUUAAUAUGUCUUCUUAGCCAUCAAUAAUAUUCCAUACCACGAUAGAAAGACCACUAUGUUAUUUGAUUGUUGUUGAGGCCUUUGUAACUUUCUUCAAAUGAAAAAUUUAAAAAACUAUUAAGAGUCGUUCUAACUUCUAAUGAAAUCACCAAACAUUGGGAGUCUCUUCCAAGGUCGUGAUACCAAAUACGUUAUAUCUCACCAUCUAUUUGAAGAAGAACUUGUUAUUCUUGAGGAUCUUUAUCUCGAUAAUAUCGUCUUGAAGGUUGUAACAAUUAUAAUUUUUUGUCUAAUAAAUCAACAAAUGAUAGCUUUUGAAUUGAAACUAUUGAUUCUUGCUUGUCCAUCUCUUUAACGUCACAAAUACACAAAAAUAUCAAACAAGAGUAGAAAGUAGAAUGAUAUCUUUUUUAGAUCUUGUUUCUUUUAUAGCAAAGAUUUGUAAUUUUUUAUCUUAAUUUUUAUGAAUGUCGUCAAUAAAAAAUAUCAACCUUCUUUGUUGCAUAUGUAAGAUUCUGUGUUGGCUCUCAUGUGUAUUCAAUAAUAUUAUAUUUGUCUCAAUGAACAAGAUAUUUUAAUCUAUUUUGGUGCCACCUUAAAUCUAAGAUUGCUUCAACUUCAAAUUCUUGAUUAUUAUCCACUUCUAUAAGAGGAAGUGGCAUUUGACUUCUUUCUAAGAUAUUCAUUGACUUAUAUGGCUCAAGAAAAUAGACAUGGAAUACAAGAUGGAUCUUCAUAGACUCUGAUAGAUAUAAUCAAUAAGUAAUAAGAUUGACUUAUUCACAAAUAAAAAAACAUCUAAGCCUAUUAUAAUCCAACUUGUUACAAGUACAAAUAGUCUUAAUAUUACAAUGAAAUAACUAUACCUUGUCACUCACAUUGAAUUGUGGUUGUUCCUUGCAAUAGAUAUCUACAUUGAUUUUUUGUCAUUCUUAAGCUGUAAUUAAUUGCACCUUUAUUGUUGCAUAGCUCUAACAAACAAUUUACCAAAUCUUUUGCCAUAAGAUUAUCAACUUUUGAAAAGUCAAAAAUAUCAAAUUGUAGAUGAUAACUAUAGUUGGUAAAAAAAAGUAUUUGUUUAGUAGAAGAGUGUACUGAAUUAUUGUAUGGAAACUCUACCAAUGAAAAAAAAAUUGUCUAAUCAUCUUCAUAACUAUUGAUGGUACGCUUCAAGUACUAUUCUAAAACUUGAUUCACCUAUUCUGUUUAUCCAUCAGUUUGAGGAUGAAAAGUUAAAGAGAGUUUUAUAUCCUUGUUUAGAAUCUUAAAAGGAUUUUUUAAGAUAUUAAUAUAAAUUUAGUCCUCCUAUUUGAUAUAAUAUCUUUGAACAAUCCAUAAUAGCUAUAGAUGUUGUCAAGAAAAAACUUAGUUAUUUCUUCACUUAUGAUAGAUUUUAUACAUGAUACAAAAUAUGCUAUCUUUGUAAAACAAUCUACUAUUACAAAUAUAAAAUCAUAAAAAUCUGAAAUUGAAAGAUCUGUAAUAAAAUCCAUAGAAACAAAAUACCAUAAUUGUUCUAAAAUAGGUAAUGGUUGAAGAAGUUCAUAAGAUCGAUGAUAAGAAAUUUUGGAUCUUAAACAAAUAUCACAUUAUUAUAUAAAGACUUUGACUACCUUCCACAUUUGAAGCCACCAAAAAUCUUUAGAUAUUAGCUCCAAAGUCUUAUUGUAUCCAAAAUAUCUAGUUGCUAAAAAGUCAUAACAAGCUUAAAGAAGACAUAAUUAUGCUUUGUCUUUUGAAAUAUAUAUUUAUUCCUUAAAAUAGAAUAAAUUAUUCUUAAACUCGAAUUUGAAAGUAUCAUGAGACUUAGAAGAAUUAUUCUUGAUAUGAUGAAUAAAAAGUUCAAAAGACAUAUUUAAUUGAAUUUUCUUGACAAAGAUUGAAUCAAUAAUUAAUGCUAAUUUUAUUACUCAAUGAUGAAAAUACUUUAGCUUUAAGAAAAUUAUUCUUUAUUAAUAAAAAGUUACAUUUUUUUCUUUUGAUGCAAGAUAAGAAUGUCUAAAAAAGCCAUCUAAUAAAUGUUAUUUUUUUUUGGAUCUAUAAGUGAACUUGAAAUCAAAUCUUAAUAAAGACAUAUUCCAAUAAGCUUGGCAAGGAUUCAAAAUAUAAGCUGAUAUGAAAGAAUUGAGGUUCUUUUGAUUUUUAUAUACAAUAACUAGUUUAGAAGCACCUUUAAGAUAAUGAUGCUAUUCUUGAAAUGAAUCUAUAAUUACAAGAAGCUCUUUAUCAUAGAUUUCAUAGUUAAUUUCAAUUAUUUAAAAUUUCUUGGAAUAAAAGGCUAUUGAAUAGAGCUUAUUAUUUGCCUCCAUUUGUGAUAAGAUAAUAUUCAUAAAAAAGUUUGGUGUAUUUAUUUUUAUAAAGAAUGUCUUGAAAAAAUUGACACAAUACAAAAUUAGUUCAAAAAUAAAUGAUGUCUUGAAAGAUUGAAAAGAUAUUUCAACUUCUUAGCUCCACUCAAGUUUAUUUUUAUAUAUCAAGUAUGUAAGAGAAGUUACAACUUGAAAAAAGUUUUUAAUGAAGAUUUGAUAAUAAUUGGAAAAUCCAAAAAAAUAUUAUAUAUCUCAGAUAAUUUUUGGAACCUUCCAAUCCAUGAUAAUCAAAAUCUUCUUAGGAUCCAUCAUUAAUCUUUCAUUGGAAAUAAUGUAUUCUAAAAAAUCAACUUAAGUACUAAGUAAUACAUACUUUUUCAGCUUUAUAUAUUAUCUUACAUCUUUAAAUUUUUAUAAUAUAUGCCAAACAUGAAGUUUAUAUUCUUUUGUAUUCUUAGAAUAGAUUAGAAUAUUUUCUAAAUAAUAGACAAUAAAAUUAUCAAGAAACUCAUAAAAGACAUCAUUUAGGAGAUAUUAAAAAGUAAGUAAUAUAUUUAAAAGUCCAAAAGGUAUGAUAUUAUAUUCAAAAUAUCCAUAUUUAGUUUGCAAAGCACUCUUCUAUUCAUCUCUUUUUUUGAUGUGGACCAAAUUAUAUGUUCCUCAUAGAUCUAUUUUUAUAUAGAUCUUUGCUUGAUUAAUUUGAUCAAGAAGUCCUAAAAUCAAAAGUAAAAGAUACCUAUUUUAGAUGGUGACCUUGUUAAGUCCUUCAUAGUCUAUGCACAUUUGCAAAGAUCCAUCUUUUUUCUUCACAAAUAAGAUAGGAGCUCUAGCUAAAGAUUUCAAAUGACGUAUAAAGUUUUUAGCCAAGUCUUGGUCAAUUUAGACUUUUACUGCAACCAACUUAUUUUGCAAUAAGCUAUGGAUCGAUCCAAAAGAUAGUUGAGUUCCUUCUUGUAGAUUAAUUGAACAAUCAUAUGGCCAAUAUCUUGAAAAAAUAUCUAUAUUUUUCUUUUCAAAAACAUCCUAAAAAUCUUAAUAUUAGCUAAAAAUACCACUUGAUGUCUUUUUACCAUCAAAAACAGGUGUAGCAUAUAUAGCAAAAAAUGAUCUUUUUUUUGCCACAUGUAUGAAAGUUCUUAUACUUAUUAAUAAGGAUUUGGAUGUACUAGGCUUAUCUAUUUUUACUUCAUUAUUAAAAUUAUAUAAUAAACUACAAAAAAUUAAAAUUACAAGAAAUCCAAUCUAUCUAAGGAUUAUAUUUUUUUAACCAUGAUAAUCCUAAAAUAACUAGAUUGGAGGGAAAUCUUAUCACAUUGAAUAUUACUAUACUAUUAUGGUCUUUAAUUGCUACAUCUAAAGGAAAAAUCUUAUAAAUAAUAUUUCUAAAAGAUAAUGAACAAUUAUCUAUGACUUUUAUAUGUAAAAAUUUAGGUUUCUUAAAUAAAAGUAUUUCUUAUUUUUUGAUAAAAUCUUUGUCUAUAAAACAAGUUGAGACUAUUGAAUUUAAUAAUGCAAAGAAUUUGUAGUUUUUAGGUUCUUAACAUGCAUCUAUUGUAAAACAAGAUGAAGAAUCUAAAGAGAGAAUUAGAUCUUUACUAGAUAUUAUACAUGAUUCCAAUCACACAAUCUCUAUUGUAACUAGAAAAACUUUUUUUUUUUGACACACUAUCUUCUUUGGCAAUUGUGCUACUUAUUUUGUGAUUACAUUGCUAUUUUGGAUAAUAUUGAAUAAUAUACUUAGCUUCUCUAUAAUAUAAGCAAAAACCCUCUUAAUGACGUUGAGUAUUUUUUUCCUUAAUAAGGGAUUUAAAAUAUAUCAUAUUAAUUUGUAUUAAUUACAGCCUUAAUAUGUAAGUUUAUAAAAACAUAGAAGCAACUAUUAUUACUUGGCUUAUUCUUCUCUAUUCAAAUUUUUAUUUUUGAUGAUUUUCAAAUAAUUAAUUGUUGCAUGUAAUAGCUUGAAUAAUAAAUUUUUCUACAGAUUAUACUUUUGGCAUUGUCAAUAAUAAAUCAUUGACAUUAUCCUUUAAUUCAUAUCAAAAUUGAUUGAUGAGGGCUUUGUCAUUCCAGUCUAUAUUGUAAGCAAGAUUUUAGAAUUUAGCAACAUAUAUGGUAGCUAAUUGUGAUUCUUGUUGUAAAGAUAAGAACUUAAAUUCAACUACUCUUUCUAAAUCACUUUUUUUUAAUGUAGGAAAAAAUACUUCUAAGAAUGAAUUUAAAAUAUAAAAGAAAUGAGAAUCAUUUUCUAUCAAUGAUGCAAACCAAGAAAGAACACUUCUAAAUAGAACAGUACCUAUAAAUUCAACUUUAAUAAAUCCAUCAGGAUAUUAGAAGGGAUACAAAAUUAGAUAAAGCUUCACUUGUUGCAAAAAUCCUCAAAAUUUUGAUUCCAUUCCAUCAAACUUAUCAAGCAUACUAAUCCAAGUCUCCAUCAUAUUUCUAGAAGUAAAACUUCAUAAAUUUGGUUGACAAAUUGUCACGGACAUACUCAUGUAAGUUAGUAAUUACAUAUAGAAAUAGAUGAAAGUAAGUAAAAGUAGAUAAAAAUAAGUUAAUUCUAUAGUAUUUAAUAUGGAAGCUUCCUAGAAGCUUCAUAGACGUUGCUUUGACUUCAUAGGUGUCUUUAAUUGACUUUUUGGAUUAGAAACGUGGUCAACAAGUUUGCCAUGUGCCACACAUGUUGUUAGCUUGAAGAUCAAGCUAACUAUGUGGUCCAUACGUAAAAAAACUUGCCUUGUAAGUCAAAGCAUGUCUCCUACAAAGUCAACACAUAUUGGAAGUCCUAUAGAACGUCGCUACAUAGCCUCUAGUUAGAUAGUAUAUAUAGAGAUAAGAGUGAAGCCCUCUUCACUCUUAUCAACUCUUUUCUUGCUUCUAGUCUAGUUUCAAGGGUCUCUAGAUUUCUUGUCUUUUAGCAAUAGCCAUUCCAGUUUCUCUUUCAAUAUACAUACUUAUUUAUUUAUAUUUUGUUACCUUUCUUUGAGUGAAGGCUCAAUUAUCUAAAUUUCUUUUUUAUCGAGUUCUUGUCCUUGAUAGAUUGACAAGAGUGCACCUACAAUAUCAGAGCUUUGUCUAAUCUUGAUUAAGAGUGAAUUAUCCCUUCUCUUGAUAAGAUAUAAGCAUAUUAGAAGUUGCAGGUUACCCUCUUCUAAACUGAUAUUGUCCUCAGUAUUUUCUUUGUUCCUAAGUCCUCUCUUCUAUUUGUCUUGAGCAAUAUUAGACAUCUUCUCUUUUCUAAGCAUUAUCAUGGCAGAACUUGUUGAAAUGAAGAGUGCAAUGGCACAAAUGCAAGAGCAAUUGAGAGAUUCAAUGCUUGCGAUGCAUCAACUCAAUUUACCACAACAAAGAGUAACAAGAUUGGUAGAAAGUGAAGAUAUAGAAAUGGUUGGAGCUACUUCAAUAUCUGUACCAAAUCAUGAUUUUUUUCCUACGGUGGAACGCCCUUCCAAUGUUAGAGAACCAAGAAUUACCCUACCCAAGAAGUUUAAUAGCACCAGAUCCAAGUUUCGAAGAUUUAUCAAUCAAGUGCAACUUGUGAUUGAACUUCAACCCCAAAGCUAUCCAACUCUAAGAUCGCAAGUUACAUUCAUUGAUAUGCUUCUUUCAGAUUCAGUACUAUCGUGGUUUUCAUCAUUUCUUGAACGAUAAGAUCCAAUAUUAGAUAAUCUAAAGGCUUUUUUGCUGGAGUUUUGAUCCAUGUAUAAAGAAUAUGAUGCAAUUUGUGUUGCAACCAAUAAGAUCUGAAUUAUAUGGCAAGGCAAUCGAUCAGUAACGUUGUACGCUUCAUAAUUUGGACAACUUGCAAUUGAUAUCAAGUGGGAUGAUGCUGCACUUAUUAGUCAAUUUCUCUACGGAUUACAAUAUGAGGUAAAAAAAUUAAUGCUCAACUUACCUGAUCCUCAAACAUUGAGUCAAGCAAUUGACUUUGCUAUGAAGUGCAACAAUCACCUUUUUGAAUUCCGAUCUGAGAACCAUACAAGUGGACCUCAACGUUACUAUAUUUCAAUGGCAACACCAACACCUCUUCAACACAUACAUUCGAAAGAAGAGGAUCUGUAAAUUGAUGCAAUACAUUUCAAAUCUCUUACUGAAUAAGAAAAGACUCAUCGUCGUUAAGAAGAAUUAUGUUUAUAUUGUGGAGAAACAAAGCACAUUGCUCAACAUUGUCCAAAGAAACAAUGCAAUCAAAAAAUGAAGAAUAUGGCUGUGAAAGAAGACAAUAUGUCAGAAAACGAGUUUGUCUAGCUACAAUAGGAACUGUGUGGCUAGAAUCUUGCACAACAUCUAGUAAAGGUCCUAUUCUCUCCUCAGAGCCCUCUCCUUAGUUUACAUUAAACGUUAUUUUAGGACUUAAAUAUUACAAAGCCUCUGUCUUGUUAGAUUCAAUAGGCUCGGCGUAUUUCUUAGAUGAAGAAUUUACUAAAAGACAUAGAAUAUCUUUAGUAAAGAAAACUAAACCUGUUCAUGUAGAAGUCAUAGAUGGUCGUUCAUUGUCUUCUACAGAUAUUACUCACAAAAUCCUUCUUAUAGAAGUAAUAAUCAAUGAUCAAAAUAGCUUUGUAGUAUUUAAUAUCAUUAGAUCUCCCUCUAAUCCAAACAUUUUAGGUUUAUUGUGGUUAAAAAAAUACAACCUUCAAAUAGAUUGGAUUUCCUGAACUCUUACUCUCUCUAAAGGUAUAACUAACAAUGUAGUUAAUCAAAUAGAGAGUCAUAAGUCCAGUUCAAUUAAACCCGUAUUUAUAGGUGCAAAAGCUUUCUUGCAUGUUGCUAUGAAAGAAUCACCAUAUAUUAUUUAUGCCACACUUGUUUCUAUUGGUGGAAAGACUUCAAGUGGCAUUCCAAGCCAAUAUCAAGAAUUUCAAGAUGUAUUCGAAAAAAAAAAAAUGCGGAUACACUCCAGGAACAUCAUCCCUAUGAUUGUUCAAUUGACCUUCAAGAAAGAGCACAAUCGCCAAUCGAACCAAUCUACAGUUUAUCACAAAAUGAGUUGACUGAACUCAAGGAGUAUAUUGAAGAAAAUCUAGCCAAGAAUUUCAUAUGCCAUUCUAAAUCUUCGGCAGGAGUUCCAAUUCUAUUUGCGAAGAAAAAAGAUGGAUAAUUGCGGAUGUGUAUUGAUUAUCGAGGACUCAACAAGAUUACUUUCAAGAACAAGUAUCCACUACUUUUAAUAUCUGGAUUUAUUGAUCAAGUGAAUCAAGCUAAGAUCUAUACAAAAAUAGAUCUUUGGAGAGCAUACAAUCUUGUAUGCAUCAAAGAAGGAGAUGAAUGGAAGACUCCAUUUCGAACUAAGUAUGGACAUUUUAAAUACAACGUCAUGCCUUUUGAACUUAUAAAUGCACCAACAGCUUUUCAACAUCUAAUGAAUGAUGUUUUUCGAGAUUUUUAGGACGAUUUUAUGGUCUGUUGUCUAGAUGACAUCUUCAUCUAUUCUAAGAAUCCAAAAGAACAUGAACUUCAUGUUUGUCAUGUGUUACAAAAAUUAAGAGAUGCAGGACUCUAUGGCAAGAUAGAAAAGUGUGUAUUCUACACCACUCGAGUCGAUUUUUUAGUUUAUCUCAUUUCAAAUGAUAGAUUUAUGAUGGAUCCUAAGAAAGUUCAAAUUAUUAUAGAUUAGAAGAUCUCAAAAAUAGUAAGAGAUGUCCAAUGUUUUUUGGGAUUUGCCAACUACUAUCGAAUCUUCAUCAAAGACUUCUCUCAAGUUGCAGCUCCACUUACACGUUUGACUUAUAAAGACAAACUCUAAUGGAAUCAGGAAGCGGAAGUUGCUUUUGAAUCUUUGAAGUCAGCGUUUGUUUCUGCACCAAUCUUGUACCGUGUUGAUUUUUUCAAAGCAUUCUUUAUGGAAAUAGAUGCAUCAAACUUUGCUCUGGAUGCAAUUUUAUUACAAAUAGGAAUAGAUGACAAACUUUAUCCAGUAGCCUUUCAUUCAAGAUAAUUCUCAACUACAGAAAUCAAUUAUGAGAUCCACGACAAAGAACUUCUUACAAUCAUAGAUUCUUUUCAAGAAUGGCAUCAUUAUCUAGAAGGCACUUCCAGUCCAAUCAUCAUAUAUAUGGAUCACAAGAACCUCAAGUAUUUUACGUCAACACGCAUAUUAAAUCAUCGUCAAGCUCAUUGGAGCAUGUCUUUAUCAAGAUUCGAGUUCAUCAUCACUUAUCGGCUAGAAAAACAACAAGGUUUGUCCGAUGCCUUGUCUAGACGUUCUUAUCUUGCACCAAAAGAAGGAGAUGCAGCUUUUGAGCAACAAAGAACGGUUCUCUUGAAGCUGAAGAAAUUUCAUCUUCGAGCAAUAAAAUCAACAUUGAUAGUUGAUUUAACUUUUCUUAAGUAAGUCCAGUUAAGUAUGUCUUCAAACCCUCUUGUUCAUGAUAUUAAGAAUAAUUCUUCUAAAUCUCAUGAUCCCUCUAAAUUUGAAUUCAAGAACAACCUACUUUAUUUCGAAGGAUGCCUAUAUGUUCUAGAAGGAGAAGCAUGUUUACGUAUUCUUCAAGCUCGUCACGACUUUCCAGCAGUAGGAUAUUUUGGAUAUAAUAAGACUUUGGAGUUGAUAUCUAGAGAUUUUUGGUGGCCUCAAAUGUGGAAGGCAGUCAAAGAUUUUGUACAAUUAUGUGAUCCUUGUUCAAGAUCAAAAACUCCUCAUCAUCGAUCUUUUGGACUUCUUCAGCCAUUACCCAUUCCAAAACAAUCAUGGUCUUCUAUUUCUAUGGACUUCAUUAUAGAUCUUCCAAUCUCAGGUUCUUAUGAUUCUAUAUUCGUGAUAGUAGAUCGUUUUACCAAGAUGGUUUAUUUUGUACCAUGUACAAAAUCUAUCAAAGGUGAAGAAACAGCUAAGCUCUUUCUUGAUAAUAUCUAUUGCUAUCAUAGAUUACCUAAGGAUAUUAUAUCAGAUAUGGGAACUCAAUUUAUAUCAAGAUUUUGGUGGACUCUUUUCAAGAUUCUAAAAGUGGAUAUAAAACUAUCUUCGACAUUCCAUCCUCAAAUUGAUGGACAAACUAAGCAUUUUAAUCAAGUUUUGGAGCAAUAUUUAAGAUGAACCAUUAAUUACCAACAAGAUGAUUGGACAACUCUUUUGCCAUUGACAGAGUUUGUUUACAAUAAUACGGUACAUUCUUCUACAAAAUAAACACCUUUCUUUGCUAAUUAUGGUUAUCAUCCACGACUUGAUACUUUUAACUUUUCAAAAGUUGAUAAUCCUACAGCAAAAGAUUUACAAUUUAUUUAUCAGAGCUACAUGCAACGAUGAAGGCGCAGUUAAAAGAGGCUCAAGAACAACAAAAGGUCAAUGCAGAUGUCUAUCGAAAGGAACAACCAGCAUUCUUCUUGGGUGAUAAGGUAUAGCUACUUUGUUGUAAUAUCAAGACCAUUCAUCUUUGUGAUAAGUUGGACUAUCAAAGACUUGGACCAUUUUCUAUUUUUAUACAAAUCAAUCUAAUUACAUAUCGUUUACAUCUAUCGGAGUCAAUGAAAAUCCAUCUAGUAUUCCACAUAUCUCUUCUUGAACCAUAGAAGACAAUGGAUAUACCAAGAAGACGACAAGCUCCACCUCCUCCUAUAGAAGUGGACAAUAAUGAAGAGUUUGAAGUAGAAGAAGUCUUAGAUUCAAGGCGGCGCCAAAAUAAAUUGGAAUAUCUUGUCUAUUGGCACGGAUAUGAUAUUAGUGAAUGCACAUGGGAGCCAAUAAAAAAUCUUGCAAAUGCAGCAAAGGUGGUGGAGGCUUUUCAUCGACGACAUCCAUCAAAAUCAAGAUGAAAAUCUUUUUUAUAAAAGAAACAACAUCUAGGCAAGAUAACAUUCUACUUUCAAUCCUUGUUCGUAGCUUCUUUGUAGUUGUGAUGCUCAGGAGAUGGAGAACUAACAACCAAUGGAUUCGACUCAAGAGCCUUCAUUUGUUGACCUACCGGACGAGACAUUACGAUUGUCUCAACCUUCAAGACGAUGCAAUCGAGAUGAAGAUCUUCAAGAACGACAUAUUCUUCCUCGAAUAGAUGACGAGAUACAACGCAUUUGGUAUCACAAUUUGGGAAGGGACUCUCAAUGUUUGGUGAUUUUGCUAGAGAUAAGAACAACUCCUGAUGGUGUUCAAAAUAUUCUAUUCGAAGCAAGUUAUGAAGGCCUCAACAAUGAUCAAAUAAUGGGGUGGUCUUCCUACCUUGGUAUGGGACACUACCGAUGGUUGAGAGGCCCUAUCAAUCAUCUUCGAAGAGAACAAAGAUCAGAGUAUGUGGCGAAUACAAUUUGUGGCAUUAUAGAUUUCUUCAACAUAUGAUGAUCGCUCUUCGUAGAACUCUUCCCUAGAAGUGGGGAGUAAUGUCACGGACAUACUCAUAUAAGCUAGUAAUUACAUAUACAAAUAGGUGGAAGUAAGUAAAAAUAGAUAAAAGUAAGUUAAUUCUAUAGUAUUUAAUAUGAAAGCUUCCUAGAAGCUUUAUAGACGUUGCUUUGACUUCAUAGGUGUCUUUAAUUGACUUUUUGGAUUAGAAACGUAGUCAACAAGUUGGCCAUGUGCCACACAUAUUGUUAGCUUGAAGAUCAAGCUAACUAUGUGGCCGACAAAUAGAAAAACUUGCCUUGUAACUCAAGGCAUGUAUCCUACGAAGUCAACACAUAUUAGAGGUCUUAUAGAACGGUGCCACGUAGCCCUUAGUUAGAUAGUAUAUAUAGAGACAAGAGUGAAGCCCUCUUCAUUCUUGUCAUCUCUUUUCUUGCUUCUAGUCUAGUUUCAAGGGUCUCUAGUUUUCU